This is a long non-coding RNA of Aplysia californica (California sea hare), 614 nucleotides long. RefSeq lists it as uncharacterized. The transcript has 4 exons. Lineage: Eukaryota; Metazoa; Mollusca; Gastropoda; Aplysiida; Aplysiidae. The record is from RefSeq and is a predicted model, not a curated record.
AUGAGACACCCCCACCCCUUUGCGUCUUCGUUUGCGGAACCAGAGCACGGCGACGUCACACGGAGAGAAAAGACGAAGUCCGCCGGCGUUUGCGCGUGUGUCUGGACCGCGCGCGGUGAUGGAGGAAGGGAAGUAAGCGGGUACCGGGAGGUACAGGUCCGGUCUCAGAAGCUUGCUGCUCGCUACAACAAGCGGACUGAACGCCGCUUCUACGGCUCCUCGCGGACCUCACUCAGCAGUUUGUUUGUGUCUUCACUACGACUACAUUCGGAAAUUUCACCAAGAAUGGUUUACGGACACACUGCCGCGACAAUGCUGACCCAAGAGCGGUGACCACAAGGGACCAGAAGACACAUCUGCGGUGAGAAAUUCUAGAAAGUACCACUACACCUCCCUCCCCCCUCUCUCUCUCCUACCUCCUGGACCAGCUCAGGGCGUGAUCGGAACAUCGUGGACUCACUCUCGCAACAUUCCCGUCUGUGACGUAAGCUCCUAUCUGGGACGCCGUGAGUGGGUGCUGCUCUGUUGAUGCCGCUGUUUCUGCUCACAGUUAGGUGCUGUACACCUUUGCUUUGUUGCACUCCUCUUUCGAAGUCUUCAGGAGAAAAAAAGAA